CUGAACGUCUGCCUUGCACAGCCACUGUGAGACUUUAUUACUGUACAGACUUUGGAUGUUUGUACAAGCAAUUGUAAAGGAGAAGAGAAGAGUUUCCCUUGCAGUUAAGGACAUCUUAAUCUUCUAACAAGAGAGGGCAGAUACAGCUGAAAAAGACUGCCUACUACCUGCAUCAAUUUGAGAAAUUUGGAAGAGCAAGUAGCAGUUCUCCAGGUUUCUUCCCAGAAAAUACUGAAGAAGGUCCAUGGCGGCAUCUAAAAUGAGAGCCAGCAAGCCCCAGAUGUGUGACAAGAUGUCAAGUUUUUUGCACAUUGGAGACAUUUGUUCUUUGUACGCAGAAGGUUCAACAAAUGGAUUUAUCAGCACUUUGGGACUUGUUGAUGACCGAUGUGUUGUACAACCAGAAACAGGUGAUCUUAACAGUCCUCCUAAAAAAUUCCGAGAUUGCCUUUUUAAAUUAUGCCCCAUGAAUCGCUAUUCUGCACAGAAGCAGUUCUGGAAAGCUGCUAAACCAGGAGCUAAUAGCACAACUGAUGCGGUUUUGCUCAACAAACUACAUCAUGCUGCAGAUUUGGAAAAAAAGCAGAAUGAGACAGAAAAUAGGAAGCUGCUUGGUACAGUUAUCCAGUAUGGUAAUGUUAUUCAGCUUCUGCAUUUAAAAAGCAACAAAUAUUUAACAGUAAAUAAGAGACUUCCAGCUCUGCUAGAGAAGAAUGCUAUGAGAGUGACACUAGAUGAAGCUGGCAAUGAAGGUUCCUGGUUUUAUAUACAACCCUUCUACAAACUGCGUUCUAUAGGAGACAGUGUGGUGAUUGGGGACAAGGUAGUCUUAAAUCCUGUUAAUGCUGGCCAGCCUUUGCACGCCAGUAGUCAUCAACUAGUGGAUAACCCGGGCUGCAAUGAGGUAAAUUCAGUGAAUUGCAAUACAAGCUGGAAAAUAGUUCUUUUUAUGAAAUGGAGUGACAAUAAGGAUGAUAUUCUCAAAGGAGGGGAUGUGGUACGGUUGUUCCAUGCAGAGCAGGAGAAAUUUCUUACUUGUGAUGAACAUCGAAAGAAGCAACAUGUUUUUCUGAGAACUACUGGGAGGCAGUCAGCCACUUCAGCAACUAGCUCAAAAGCUCUGUGGGAAGUUGAGGUAGUACAACAUGAUCCUUGUCGUGGUGGUGCAGGCUAUUGGAAUAGCCUUUUUCGGUUUAAACAUCUUGCUACUGGACAUUAUUUAGCAGCUGAGCUGGAUCCUGACCAAGAUGCAGACAGAAGGGGACUCCAUAAUACUUCAGAGAAGAUGGCAUACUCUUUAGUCUCUGUGCCUGAAGGAAAUGACAUUUCUUCCAUCUUUGAGCUUGAUCCCACCACACUGCGAGGAGGAGACAGCUUAGUCCCAAGGAACUCUUACGUCAGGCUUAGACAUCUAUGUACAAACACCUGGGUUCACAGCACAAAUAUCCCGAUUGAUAAAGAAGAAGAAAAACCUGUGAUGCUUAAAAUUGGCACCUCUCCUGUAAAAGAGGACAAAGAAGCUUUUGCCGUGGUACCAGUUUCUCCUGCCGAAGUUCGAGAUUUGGACUUUGCAAACGAUGCAAGCAAAGUAUUGGGCUCCAUUGCUGGCAAACUGGAGAAAGGAACAGUAACUCAGAAUGAAAGGAGGUCUGUUACAAAGUUGCUGGAAGAUUUGGUAUAUUUUGUUACCGGUGGAACAAAUUCUGGUCAAGAUGUACUCGAAGUCAUGUUCUCAAAGCCAAACCGAGAACGGCAAAAACUAAUGAGAGAGCAAAAUAUUCUAAAGCAGAUUUUCAAGUUAUUGCAAGCACCAUUUACUGACUGUGGAGAUGGGCCGAUGCUGAGAUUGGAGGAACUUGGAGAUCAACGCCAUGCUCCGUUCAGACAUAUCUGCCGCCUCUGUUACAGAGUGUUAAGACAUUCCCAACAAGACUACAGGAAAAAUCAAGAAUAUAUAGCCAAGCAGUUUGGCUUCAUGCAGAAACAAAUUGGCUAUGAUGUCUUAGCCGAAGACACUAUAACAGCCUUGCUCCACAACAAUCGCAAACUGUUGGAGAAACACAUCACAGCUGCUGAGAUUGAUACCUUUGUUAGCCUUGUAAGAAAAAACCGAGAACCCAGAUUCUUAGACUAUCUUUCUGAUCUUUGUGUGUCUAUGAACAAGUCUAUUCCGGUCACCCAGGAGCUGAUUUGUAAAGCUGUAUUAAAUCCAGCAAAUGCUGACAUACUUAUCGAGACUAAACUGGUCCUGUCUCGUUUUGAGUUUGAGGAGUUAUCAUCUGGAGAGAACUCACUGGAGGUUGGUGAGGACGAAGAAGAAGUCUGGUUAUUCUGGCGAGACAGCAGCAAAGAGGUCCGCAGUAAGAGUAUCAGAGAGCUGGCACAAGAUGCCAAAGAAGGACAGAAGGAAGACCGAGAUGUCCUAAGCUACUACAGGUACCAGCUGAAUCUUUUUGCUCGGAUGUGCCUUGAUCGCCAGUACUUAGCUAUAAAUGAAAUAUCUGGGCAGUUGGAUGUAGACCUUAUUCUUCGCUGCAUGUCGGAUGAGAAUUUGCCUUAUGACUUGAGAGCUUCAUUUUGUCGACUGAUGUUGCAUAUGCAUGUUGACCGAGAUCCGCAAGAACAAGUGACGCCAGUGAAAUAUGCUCGACUAUGGUCAGAGAUACCAUCUGAAAUAGCAAUUGAUGACUAUGACAGCAGUGGAACUUCCAAAGACGAAAUCAAGGAGAGGUUUGCACAAACUAUGGAGUUUGUGGAGGAAUAUUUAAGAGAUGUUGUUUGCCAAAGAUUCCCAUUUUCUGAUAAAGAAAAAAAUAAACUCACCUUCGAGGUUGUGAAUUUAGCCCGAAAUCUGAUAUAUUUUGGCUUCUAUAAUUUUUGUGAUCUUCUAAGACUAACAAAAAUUCUCCUGGCUAUUCUGGACUGUGUUCAUGUGGCAACUAUUUUCCCUAUUACAAAGGCUACAAAAGGGGAAGAAAGUAAAGGGAGCAAUGUGAUGAGAUCGAUCCAUGGUGUUGGAGAGCUCAUGACCCAAGUGGUACUCAGAGGUGGUGGGUUCUUGCCUAUGACGCCCUUGGCUGCUGUCCCGGAAGGCAACGUGAAACAAGUUGAACCUGAGAAAGAGGACAUCCUGGUAAUGGAUACCAAACUGAAAAUAAUUGAAAUCCUCCAGUUCAUUUUGAAUGUGAGAUUGGAUUACCGAAUCUCAUGCCUUCUGUGUAUAUUUAAACGAGAAUUUGAUGAAAGCAACGCACAGACAUCUGAUUCACCUUCAGGGGGCAAUAAUCAAGAAAUGCCAAAUGUACCAGGUGCUCUUGACUUUGAAAAUAUUGAAGAACAAGCAGAAGGGAUAUUUGGAGGCAGUGAAGAGAAUACACCACUAGAUUUGGAUGAUCAUGGCGGCAGAACUUUCCUGAGAGUUUUGCUCCAUUUAACAAUGCAUGACUAUCCUCCACUAGUAUCUGGGGCGCUUCAGCUACUCUUCAGACACUUUAGUCAGAGGCAAGAAGUCCUCCAGGCUUUUAAACAGGUUCAACUGCUUGUUACCAGCCAAGAUGUUGACAAUUACAAGCAGAUAAAGCAAGAUUUGGAUCAGCUGAGGUCCAUUGUUGAAAAAUCGGAACUCUGGGUAUAUAAAGGACAGGGUCCUGAUGAAGCUGCAGAUGUAACAACAGGAGAAAAUGAACAUAAGAAAAAGGAGGAAGGUCGCAGCAAAUCGUCUAAACCAGAAAGCACUAGUAGCUAUAAUUAUAGGGUAGUAAAAGAGAUUUUGCUUCGCCUUAGCAAGUUAUGUGUCCAGGAGAGUAUCUUGGUCAGGAAAAGCAGGAAACAGCAGCAGAGAUUGCUCCGAAACAUGGGGGCUCAUGCGGUGGUACUGGAACUCUUACAAAUCCCCUAUGAGAAAGCUGAAGAUAUACGCAUGCAGGAGAUCAUGAAACUGGCCCAUGAGUUUCUACAGAACUUCUGUGCUGGCAAUCAACAAAAUCAGGCUUUGCUACACAAGCAUAUAAAUCUGUUUCUCAACCCUGGGAUUCUAGAAGCCGUGACAAUGCAGCAUAUCUUCAUGAAUAAUUUCCAGCUUUGCAGUGAAAUUAAUGAGCGAGUGGUUCAACACUUUGUGCACUGCAUCGAAACACAUGGAAGGAAUGUCCAGUACAUUAAAUUCCUCCAGACAAUUGUUAAGGCUGAAGGGAAGUUCAUUAAAAAAUGUCAGGAUAUGGUCAUGGCUGAGUUGGUCAAUGCAGGGGAAGAUGUCCUUGUGUUCUACAAUGACAGAGCCUCAUUCCAGACAUUGGUGCAAAUGAUGAGAUCAGAACGGGACAGAAUGGAUGAAAAUAGUGCUCUCAUGUAUCAUAUCCACUUAGUAGAAUUGCUGGCUGUUUGCACCGAGGGCAAAAAUGUCUACACUGAAAUCAAGUGCAACUCUCUUCUCCCUUUGGAUGACAUUGUUAGAGUUGUAACCCAUGAGGAUUGCAUACCUGAGGUGAAAAUAGCCUAUAUUAAUUUUCUAAACCACUGCUAUGUUGACACAGAAGUUGAAAUGAAAGAGAUUUAUACGAGUAAUCAUAUGUGGAAGCUCUUUGAAAACUUUCUUGUGGAUAUCUGUAGGACUUGCAACAAUACCAGUGAUAGGAAGCAUGCAGAUUCUAUAUUGGAAAAAUAUGUGACUGAAAUAGUGAUGAGUAUAGUUACUACCUUCUUCAGUUCUCCAUUUUCAGACCAGAGCACAACUUUGCAGACUCGUCAGCCAGUGUUCGUGCAACUUUUACAAGGUGUGUUUCGAGUGUAUCACUGUAACUGGCUCAUGCCCAGUCAAAAAGCAUCAGUGGAAAGUUGUAUCAGAGUACUUUCAGAUGUAGCAAAGAGCAGAGCGAUUGCUAUCCCAGUUGAUCUUGACAGCCAGGUCAAUAACCUUUUCCUGAAGUCUCACAAUAUAGUGCAAAAAACAGCAAUGAACUGGAGGAUGACGGCAAGAAACGCUGCUCGGAGAGAUUCUGUGAUGGCAGCGUCAAGGGAUUAUCGUAAUAUCAUUGAGAGGUUGCAAGAUAUAGUAUCAGCUUUGGAAGAUCGCUUACGACCACUGGUCCAAGCUGAAUUAUCUGUAUUGGUGGAUGUCCUUCAUAGACCAGAACUGCUGUUCCCAGAAAAUACAGAUGCUAGAAGGAAAUGUGAAAGUGGAGGUUUUAUCUGCAAGUUAAUAAAACAUACUAAGCAGCUGCUGGAAGAGAAUGAGGAGAAACUUUGUAUUAAAGUUUUACAGACACUCAGGGAAAUGAUGACCAAAGAUAGAGGCUAUGGAGAGAAGCUGAUUGCACUUGCUGACUUGGAUAAUGCUGAGCUGCCUAAGUCACCUGAAAUGGAAAACGAUAUAGAGGAGCUUGAUCAAAGUCUACCAGAGAGACAGCUUGAAGAUCAAAAAAGGGGGGAGGCCCUGAGACAGGUUUUGGUAAAUCGUUACUACGGGAACAUCAGAAGUGGAGGAAGACGAGAGAGCCUCACCAGCUUUGGCAAUGGACCUUUAUCUCCUGCAGGGCCCAACAAACCUGGAGGAGCAGGAGGUGGGUCGGGAUCCAGCUCAACAAACCGUGGUGAAAUGAGUUUGACAGAAGUCCAGUGUCACUUGGAUAAGGAAGGAGCGUCCAAUCUAGUUAUAGACCUCAUCAUGAAUGCCACUAGUGAUAGAGUUUUCCAUGAAAGCAUCCUGUUGGCUAUUGCCCUACUGGAAGGUGGCAACACAAUUAUACAGCACUCCUUUUUUUGUCGCUUAAUGGAAGAUAAGAAAUCAGAAAAAUUCUUCAAAGUUUUUUAUGAUCGUAUGAAAGUUGCUCAGCAAGAAAUCAAGGCCACAGUCACAGUUAACACUAGUGAUUUAGGAAAUAAAAAGAAAGAUGAUGAUUCUGACAGAGAUGUGCCAGCAAGGAAGAGAGCAUCAAGGGAACCCCUGACCCAAAUAACAGAGGAAGUGAGAGAUCAGUUGGUUGAGGCCUCCACCGCAACAAGGAAAGCAUUUAACACCUAUCGAAGAGAAGCCGAUCCUGAUGAUCAUUAUUCUGCUGUAGAAGGAGCACAGUCGGUGGCAGAUAAAAACAAAGAUGAACUGGAGAUGAGUCCUGUCAUCACAAUAAUGCAGCCCAUCUUACGGUUUUUGCAGUUGCUGUGUGAAAACCACAACCGGGAUUUGCAGAACUUCCUGCGUUGCCAAAACAACAAGACUAAUUACAACCUAGUGUGUGAGACAUUACAGUUUUUAGAUUGCAUUUGUGGAAGCACAACUGGAGGACUUGGACUGCUUGGGCUGUACAUUAAUGAAAAAAAUGUAGCAUUGAUCAACCAGACUCUGGAAAGUUUGACAGAGUACUGCCAGGGACCAUGUCAUGAAAAUCAGAACUGCAUUGCUACUCAUGAAUCCAAUGGUAUUGAUAUAAUUACAGCAUUAAUUCUCAAUGAUAUCAACCCCCUGGGAAAAAAGAGGAUGGAUCUUGUAUUAGAACUGAAGAAUAACGCCUCAAAGUUACUCUUGGCUAUAAUGGAAAGUAGGCAUGACAGUGAGAAUGCAGAAAGGAUCCUUUAUAACAUGAGACCAAAAGAACUGGUAGAAGUAAUUAAAAAGGCCUAUCAGCAAGGUGAGGUUGAAUUUGAAGAUGGAGAGAAUGGUGAAGAUCUUGCUGCAUCUCCUAGAAAUGUGGGGCAUAAUAUUUACAUAUUAGCCCAUCAGCUUGCUCGCCACAACAAAGAAUUGCAAAACAUGUUGAAGCCUGGAGGUCAAAUAGAUGGAGAUGAAGCUUUGGAAUUCUAUGCCAAGCAUACAGCUCAAAUUGAGAUAGUUAGAUCGGAUCGUACUAUGGAGCAAAUAGUCUUCCCUGUGCCCAGUAUAUGUGAGUUCCUCACCAAAGAAUCUAAACUCCGGGUGUACUACACUACAGAAAGGGAUGAGCAAGGCAGCAAAAUCAAUGAUUUCUUUAUGAGUUCUGAAGACCUUUUUAAUGAAAUGAACUGGCAAAAAAAGCUAAGAGCUCAGCAUAUCUUGUAUUGGUGUUCCCGCAACAUGUCCUUCUGGAGCAGUAUUUCAUUCAACCUUGCAGUCCUUAUGAAUCUACUGGUAGCAUUUUUCUAUCCAUUUAAAGGAAUCAAAGGAGGUACACUGGAGCCCCAUUUGUCAGGCUUACUCUGGACGGCCAUGCUAAUAUCGCUUGCCAUUGUUAUCGCUUUACCUAAGCCCCAUGGCAUUAGGGCUUUAAUAGCUUCUACAAUAUUGCGAUUAAUUUUUUCUGUUGGUUUACAGCCCACAUUGUUUCUUCUGGGGGCUUUCAAUGUUUGUAACAAAAUUAUAUUUCUGAUGAGUUUUGUUGGUAAUUGUGGAACAUUUACUAGAGGAUACAGAGCCAUGAUCAUGGAUGUAGAGUUUCUUUAUCAUCUACUAUAUCUUCUGAUUUGUGCAAUGGGGCUCUUUGUUCAUGAAUUUUUCUACAGUUUAUUGCUUUUUGACUUGGUGUACAGGGAGGAGACCUUGCUGAAUGUCAUUAAAAGUGUCACUCGCAAUGGACGUUCUAUCAUCUUGACUGCUGUUCUUGCUCUUAUUUUGGUUUACCUGUUCUCAAUAGUAGGAUACCUCUUCUUCAAAGAUGACUUUAUCUUGGAAGUAGAUAAGCUACCUAAUGAGACAUUAUUGCCAGAUCAACAUAAUGAAAUUGGAGAGCCAAUGACUAGAGAGUUCUUAUAUUCUAAUAUGUGCAAAAUAGAGGAUGGUGAGAAUUGUUCUUCUGUUAUUCCUUCUACAGAGCUAGCUUCUGAAGAAUCUGAAGAGGAUAAAGAACAUACAUGUGAGACGUUGCUGAUGUGCAUUGUUACCGUGCUUAGUCAUGGGCUGAGAAGCGGGGGUGGAGUAGGAGAUGUACUCAGGAAACCAUCCAAGGAGGAACCUCUGUUUGCUGCAAGAGUGAUAUAUGACCUCCUCUUCUUCUUCAUGGUGAUCAUUAUUGUCCUUAAUCUGAUUUUUGGAGUCAUUAUCGAUACCUUUGCUGAUCUAAGAAGUGAGAAACAGAAGAAAGAAGAAAUUUUGAAAACAACAUGUUUUAUUUGUGGUUUGGAAAGAGACAAGUUUGAUAACAAGACAGUAACUUUCGAAGAACAUAUUAAAGAGGAGCACAAUAUGUGGCACUAUUUAUUCUUCAUUGUGUUGGUAAAAGUAAAAGACUCUACAGAAUAUACAGGGCCUGAGAGUUAUGUAGCAGAAAUGAUAAAGGAAAGAAAUCUGGAUUGGUUCCCCCGGAUGCGUGCCAUGUCACUUGUUAGUAGCGACUCAGAAGGAGAACAAAAUGAACUUAGAAACCUGCAAGAGAAGCUUGAAUCAACGAUGAAGCUGGUAUCUAACCUUUCCAGUCAGCUGACGGAACUUAAAGAUCAGAUGACAGAGCAGAGGAAGCAAAAACAGCGUAUUGGUCUCCUAGGACAUCCUCCUAUCAAUGUGAACCCACAACAACCAGCAUAAAUUGGAUGGGUGGUUCGUCUCCCCAUUGUAUUUCCUUCCUUCAUACCAGAGUUAAGAUCCAGUUCUUAAAGCUGCUUCAGUGUAUUCCCAGUUCAUGUAAAUAAACCUGAUUUUUUUUUAUACUGUAUGUAUAGAACUGCUCUGAGAAAGAAAGGGGCUUAUAAAUAUUGGCAUAUUAUAAGAGGAGGAUUACAUUUGUACCUUCAAAAUGUGUUUUUAUAGGAAGAAAGGCACAUCGAUUUUGCACUUGAAAAAAAAAAGGAUUUAUGUCUAAAAUAAUACAUGAUCUGUAUUUUGUAUUUAAAACCUCAGAUAGCUAGUAUUUAUGUUUUAUACAAUUGUGCAAUAUGAAUUAUGCAAUCACACUAGUUACUUUAGGAAUGUAUCCUAGAGGGAGUGCACAUUUUUGAAUUUGGUGUCAUCUUACUCCAUUUGCAAAACAGCAUCAAGUGUCCGCUGAUAUAAGCUGCUGCCAAAUACUGUUCCUAGUGCGGUUUACUUCUCCAGGCCCAAUUCCCUGUUUGAUUUUUGUUUAAUUGUUUGUUUGGUUUGGUAAAAUACAGUAUUUGAAAUAGUUUGAAGCACUGUGGCAAUAAAGCCUCCUUUUAUUCCAGCCAACAUUGAUCGAUCUCCCUAUUAAAAAAAGUUUUUUUUAAAAAAAAAAAAUUAUUGAGCUGGUCCAGCGAUCAUGGUACUGGAAAAGUUAUCCAAACGUUAAUUAAUGAAUAAAUCUUGAAGGGAAUCUUUUUUGUUAUGACAGAUUCUAUCAGGCUGGUUCUCAAUGGCUGGUAAUCAGGGUAAUCUUCUAAAAUAUUUUUCUUGGUUUUGGUGCCAUUUUGGUUGAGAAACACUGGUUUAGAAGAACCUAAAAUAAUGUAGAUCUAUCCGUCUAUCAUCUGUACAUUUUGUUACUGUAUUCCAACAGAGAUACAUUACCUUCAGUUAUACUUUGUACCAGUUAAAAAUAAACUUGGCCUUCUAGGACCCCUAGCUGAGCACUGAUUUUCCAAUACUUGUGAAAGAGCCACUAGAUAUAGAUUAUGCUUUAGUUUUUCUUCACACUUUGUUAAUCUUAAAAGAUUAUAUAAAUAUAUAUAUAAAUGUCAUCUAGUUUUGUACAUGAUCCUCAGAGAUUACAGAAGCAAUCUCUGCUUUUAAUAAGAAGCAGGGAGAUGAGUGCUUAUUAAAGUUUGUAAAUGCAAAAAUAUAGAUAUUUAAAUAAAUGAUAAAAUAAAUAUGUACAGUGUUCCA
Pantherophis guttatus is the source of this 9739-nucleotide non-coding RNA. NCBI's taxonomy places the organism in Eukaryota, Metazoa, Chordata, Lepidosauria, Squamata, Colubridae. The record is from RefSeq and is a predicted model, not a curated record.